Long non-coding RNA from Myotis brandtii (Brandt's bat), 590 nucleotides. RefSeq lists it as uncharacterized. The transcript has 3 exons. Lineage: Eukaryota; Metazoa; Chordata; Mammalia; Chiroptera; Vespertilionidae. The record is from RefSeq and is a predicted model, not a curated record.
GAAUCAUCAAAUUACAUUUCAUUCAGAUUCGGUGAUUAAAUGAGACUAAUUAACUUAAAACUCAUGAAAGUCUCCAAUGAAAAUUCGCAUCCUACCGAGAGAACCUGGGGAAGGUUACUCAAAGCUUCCGUGGGACCACUAGCGCCAGUGGGCACAUCCGGAGCAAACACAUCGGAGACACAUUUUCCUUUCUUUGUGAACUCAGCCUCAACUCAAAGGACUCAGGAAUGUAAUUCAUUCAGAACUGGAAAGAAUCUCUUUUGAAACAGUGAGCUGGUUUUAGGGGAAGAAGUUAAAGAUUUGGAGCUCAAGAGGAUUUGAUUCACCAUUAUUGGUGUGAAGAUAGAGAGGAGUCAUGGCAAAGGAUGUGGGCAGCCUACAGGAGCUGAAGGAAGCCCCAGGCAACAGCCAAGAAGGAAACAGGACCUCCUUUUUAGAACCACAGGAACAGAAUUCUGCUGACAAGAAUAAGCUUGAAAAGUGGAGUCUUCCCCAGAGCAUCCAGAAGAACACUCAGCCGGGGCCUCAUGAUACCCCCAGCUGAGGCCCCAGCCAUGCCAUACUCUGAAUCACAAACCUGUGAGUUAAUA